Molecule: long non-coding RNA, 1086 nt
Filed under: Lathyrus oleraceus (garden pea)
Lineage: Eukaryota; Viridiplantae; Streptophyta; Magnoliopsida; Fabales; Fabaceae
Description: Pisum sativum (pea) long non-coding RNA (PSAT_LNC015698)
Source: RNAcentral
CUUUUCAUUUGGAGGUUCCGGAACAUACUGUUGAUUUCCAAUGGUCAUUGGCCCUUUUAAAUCAUGCACAGGAGGAAAAGAUGAGUCUUGUUUCUUCUUGGAGUGUUUACUGCUUGAGGGUUUUUGAGGCGCCAUUGCUGAAAGAAAGCUGAAGAAGAUUUCUCAGAAAAUGUGAAAAGCUUGAGAAAUGGGUAUGAAGAAGGAAAUCUGAAACGUAAAAGGGUUUAAAGAAAAGGUUUAUGGGUAUUUAUAGGAAGAAGAUGUUGAAACGUUUUAGAUGGUAAUGGUGUUAGUGGGACACGUGGCCAUUUCUGAUGGAAAUGAAAAAGAGGUAGAAGUUGAAAAGAAACCAUGACGUGAGGAAAUGAUGGAAGUAGGCUGUGAACGUGGGCUAGACGUGACAUUGUGGAGAAAGUGUAAUGAUGAAUCUGCAUUGGAAAUUGGGAUUAUCAGACUUGCAUUUAAUGAGGUUUAAAUGACAUGGCAUCAAAGCACUGAUUGACAACAAAUGACUGUUUCUCCAGAACAACAGUCGAAACGUCUUUGCUGGGGGGCAAUUUGUAUACGUGCGUUUUCGACGCCAUGAGAUUCGGUAUACGAAAUGAUGUUUCGACAAAUGAUGACAUGGGUUGGAACGGUUUGAUAAACAAGUAUGGUUCGACACUUCGACAAGAGGGAGGUUUCGUCAUUUCAACAAAGAUAUUCGCAGCUAGGAAGGUACUUUCGACAAAACACGGAAGACAUUGCAGUAUGUUGGUAGAUUCGACAAAAAUCCUGAAAGAAGACGUCAUUUCGACUUAACAUAUAAAUUUGAAUUUAAGGUGUGACGUUUGGCAGAAGCGCGUGGAAGCAUCUGGCGAAAGGAGGAAAGCCAUGUGUCGUAGUUUUAGGAUUUAGUCGUUAAUGACAGUUAUGUUAUUUAUGUAUAUAUAGGGUAGUUAUUAUCUAAAAAGUGUGUGAAGAAUUACUAUAUACAAAAUUCCUGAAAACACUCAAAGUACCCGUGUGAGAGAAAAGAGUCAUAUUUGGAAAAUGUAUGUGUAAACAAACACCAAUUCUUUCAAAGUUUAUUAUAUAAAGUUCAAA